Long non-coding RNA from Sapajus apella (tufted capuchin), 1424 nucleotides. RefSeq lists it as uncharacterized. NCBI's taxonomy places the organism in Eukaryota, Metazoa, Chordata, Mammalia, Primates, Cebidae. The record is from RefSeq and is a predicted model, not a curated record. The transcript is spliced from 3 exons.
AAUGAUCCACCUGUCUCAGUCUCUCAAAGUGCCGGGAUUACAGGCAUGAACCACUGCGCUUGGCCAAGACCAGCUUAAGCUUAUUUGUCCUUGUUUUUGUGUGUCCUUCUUAUUAUAAGCAUCGGUACUUCUAUUUUUAUUUUCCAUUCCACCUUUAUGAUGGCAUAGGAAGAAAUGCUUUAUAAAAGCCAAUGAACAAGAAAAACAUCCAAAUAAUGACGGAGGCUCUGCUUUAUGGACAAAGAGGAUGACAUUCUGAAAGGAAGUCAUUGGUCAGAAGAUCAUGUGAAAUGAAGUUGCUCAGAAUAUUGAAUGCCACAUACUAUAUGAAUGUCUGAAUUUGACAGAUGGGAGGUGACUUACAGUUGUCAAUAAAUAAUAUAUAAAAGUAUAGUUUGUAUGAAAGUCAAACUUUGGAAAACUUCAGUUUAAAUUUUACAUUUGCAUUUUACCACAGUAAGUCUAGAUUUGGUUGUACGUCCAGAGGAAAAAAAGUUACAAAUACCCCCUCUAGAUUAUCUUGAAUGACUCUGCUGUCGACUUUAAGGUCCAGUUGUGGUGCUAUUCCUGACUUAAUGUCUGCAGAACGCUGCAGGCUAUGGCCAUCGUGGGCUGGCCUGCAUUAAAAGAGGCUGGAGAUCGUGAAUUGGUUAAUGCAGAGAGGUGGGUGGAUGAGAGCUCCUUAAAAGCACCUUUCCAAAUUCACAUCGCGGGUCAAGUGACAAUGUGAAGGGGUGAUUGUAUUAUCUUUAGUACUUGUUUACUCUUUCUGAGGUGAAAGAACAGGAGCAACCGCCUGGAUUCACUUUAAAAAAUGAUGGUAGCUAUCAGGUUCUCUUAGAAUUCCUAUGAGCCUUCCCAUCCAAGCAAUAUGUCCUUCCUACUGAGUGCUUAUUUGAAAAGCUCAGCGAGGAAAAUCUUUUUGAACUUUUUUUUUUUUUCAGCUGAAUGAGAACAUCUGAAAGUCCAUCUCUGAUUUUCUUUCAUCGACACUAACUCAGUUUGACAGUCGGUACCCAAUAGAACUAUAUAUCACAACAUGAACUAGAGUUGGCCAGGCAUUUAAAUGCUCACCAGCCCUGAACUCACAAGGCCGUUUUUAACCUCUAGCUUGUUUGUAGAUUGCUGUUCAAGACACUGAGGAUACAUGGUUCCCGCUUUUGAGCAAUUUAUCUUCUAGUGAGGAAUAGGCAUGUGUACAUCCCAACAUACUCUGUGAGUGCUGUGUUAUAAAGAGGAAUGAGGUUGAGGAAGAAAGGACACCACAAACAUCCCAAUGGCUUGGAAUAAAAUGCAAACUCCUUCUUUAGCAUCCGAGGCCCACAUCAGUGAUUUUCCUCUUUGGCUGAAGGUCAGAAUCCAACUCGCGAACUCCAGAAUCUGAUUCCUAAACUCCAUCCCCAGAAAUUCUGGUUUAUUCCAUG